GAUGAAGAACGCAGCGAAAUGCGAUAAGUAAUGUGAAUUGCAGAAUUCAGUGAAUCAUCGAGUCUUUGAACGCACAUUGCGCCCCCUGGUAUUCCGGGGGGCAUGCCUGUCCGAGCGUCAUUGCUGCCGUCAAGCACGGCUUGUGUGUUGGGCCGUCGUCCCCCUCCUAGGGGACGGGCCCGAAAGGCAGCGGCGGCACCGCGUCCGGUCCUCGAGCGUAUGGGGCUUCGUCACCCGCUCCGUAGGCCCGGCCGGCGCUUGCCGACGACCAUCAAUCUCUUUCUCCAGGUUGACCUCGGAUCAGGUAGGGAUACCCGCUGAACUUAAGCAUAUCAAUAAGCGGAGGA
RNAcentral lists this unclassified non-coding RNA (347 nucleotides) under soil metagenome. RNAcentral's name for it is "partial contains 5.8S ribosomal RNA, internal transcribed spacer 2, and large subunit ribosomal RNA". The stretch from base 1 to 120 matches the Rfam family "5.8S ribosomal RNA", at positions 35 to 154 of the family's 154-position model. The record is from RNAcentral.